UUGCGAAACCUUUACAAUGCGCGAAAGCGUGAUAGGGGAACUCUGAGUGGCGUAGGGACACUGUCCCUCGUCUUUUGCCAAGUCUAGAUAGCUUGGAGAAUAAGUGCUGGGCAAGACCAGUGCCAGCCGCCGCGGUAAUACUGGCAGCACAAGUGGUACCCACGAAUAUUGGGUCUAAAGAGACCGUAGCCUGUCCUUUAAGUCUUCUGUGAAAUCUUGGAGCUUAACUUCAAGGCGUGCAGAGGAUACUGCUGGACUUGAGAGUGGGGGAGGUCAAGAGUACUUAUGGGGUAGGGGUAAAAUCCUGUAAUCCUAUAAGGACUCCCAGUGGCGAAGGCGCUUGACCAAAACACGUCUGACGGUGAGGGUCGAAGGCUAGGAGAACGAAUCGG
This 392-nucleotide ribosomal RNA is filed under the name uncultured bacterium. RNAcentral describes it as "bacterial SSU rRNA". It matches the Rfam family "Archaeal small subunit ribosomal RNA", at positions 339 to 727 of the family's 1478-position model. The record is from RNAcentral.